RNAcentral lists this ribosomal RNA (459 nucleotides) under uncultured bacterium. RNAcentral's name for it is "SSU rRNA". It matches the Rfam family "Bacterial small subunit ribosomal RNA", at positions 26 to 518 of the family's 1533-position model. The record is from RNAcentral.
AGAAUCAACGCUGGCGGCGUGCCUAACACAUGCAAGUCGAACGAGAAAGUGGAGCAAUCCAUGAGUAAAGUGGCGCACGGGUGAGUAACACGUGACUAACCUACCCUUGAGUGGGGAUAACCUCGGGAAACCGGGGCUAAUACCGCAUAAUAUCGAGAGAUCAAAGGAGCAAUUCGCUUAAGGAGGGGGUCGCGGCUGAUUAGCUAGUUGGUGAGGUAAUGGCUCACCAAGGCUAUGAUCAGUAUCCGGCCUGAGAGGGCGCACGGACACACUGGAACUGAAACACGGUCCAGACUCCUACGGGAGGCAGCAGUGGGGAAUUUUGCGCAAUGGGGGAAACCCUGACGCAGCAACGCCGCGUGGAGGAUGAAAUAUCUUGGUAUGUAAACUCCUUUCGAUGGGGACGAUAAUGACGGUACCCAUAGAAGAAGCCCCGGCUAACUUCGUGCCAGCAGCCGC